This 38899-nucleotide long non-coding RNA is filed under the name Mytilus galloprovincialis (Mediterranean mussel). The record is from RNAcentral. Lineage: Eukaryota; Metazoa; Mollusca; Bivalvia; Mytilida; Mytilidae.
CUUGUGCAGACAGAUGCAGCCUAACCUUAUAUUUUUUUAUAUUUACUAUGGAAUAUACUGUGAAUUUUGUGGAAUUUUUAUAUAGUGUUUACGUAACCAGUAUGGGAUGAUUCGUAACUUGCAAAGGUACCAAUGGAGUACCAUGUUUACAACAGUAGUCACAGUAAACCGUAAGUCACUGUCUUAUUUCUUGUUAUUUCUGACUAACAAUAGUACAAUGUUGCAUAAUAUUCCUAGCUGAAUCUUGCCUGAAGUUUCUCCAAGAUAACAGCAUUAGUUACUUAAGUACUUAUACUUAGUAGAUACUUUCAUUUUUAUUUCAGGGAGUGGCAUUCAACACUAAACAUCAACAAACUAAUCAGUGCCAUUUUAAUUGAAAUAAUUGAGGAAAGCUUAAAAUACUUUUAAAAAUAGAUUAAAAUAAAACAUAUCCAAUAUCAAAUUCCUGUCUUAGGCAAUGCAGAACUUACACAUGAAUAUCCCAUUCCUGUCUUAAGCAUGGCCAAAACCUCACCACCAAUAUCAAUACUAUUGCUAUUUAUAUACGAGAUUUUUUCUUAGAUGUGAUUACUUCUGACAAGGUCGCUUUUCUUUUCGGAUAAAUACUAAUACUACAUGCUAUAAACGAUUAAUCGCUCCACAGAACCAGAACAUCAAUAAUGCUAACAAUAACAACAAAUACAGGUAUUACGUCUUCGAUUUGUUCAAUACAAAUCCAUUCCAUAUUCUAUUAGUGUCUAUUACAAUCAUCAGGAAAACUAUCACAUGUUUACGAAUUGUCUUUUCUAGAUAAAUCAUUAUCCGUCGGCAACCUUAUAUACUUUGUGUGAAAUGUAGACUAAAUUCCUCAAUCUAAAUCGGAUGGAAUGAGAAUUAUUAUAAUUAUUCAUGAUAUAUAAAAGUAGGACCUUGUAUAAUGUGUUGUCGAAGGCAGAUAGAUAUAAUGAAUGGCGCAAAAACCUUCACAUCAUAUUUAUACAAAGCUUGUUUACUAGAUAUAUGUUGACUGGUACGACAUUACAUGCAUAUACAUUGUUAAUUUAUUUUAAGUCUCAAAAGCAUAAUAAAGUGUUGAAUUCUGUAACGGAUGAAGUCAUAUACACGGUAAAUCACACGAUCAACUAGUUUUUACAAAAUCAUUGUACAAAUCAUCCGAACACGAAAUAAUAUACAAAUUGGUUUCAUUUAAAAUUGUUGUUACUACUUGUAAUGUUUUCCUAAAUAUGUUUAGAGCAUCAUGAAAUGUUGACACUCAAACUUACAUUUUGACUAUAGCCUGCGACUACACGGAAAUCAAUAUACUAAAUAUUAAGGAAAUUUCAUAAUUAUAAACAAAUGUCGUUGUUUAAAGACCGUGACAAUUUUAUAGUUCCCCUUAGAAUAACAGAAUAGAGUAAAGUUAUAAUUUAUUUCAUAUCAGUGAAAAGCUUAUUCCCAUUUGCUGAUAAGUAUAUACAUCGAUUUUUAUUCUCUUAUGUGCGCGAUGUAUUUACAUUUUUUUUCAAUUGAUAAUGGAAGAAUAAAACUAUCUCUGAAAUUACUGGAAUAUGUAAAAUGUGUGUACAUGAGAUGGCGUAAUCAUACAAUGGUUAAGUUUUUCUAUAACGUUACCAGAUUAUUUAACAAGAGCUGGUUGGAGUAAAACCAAGUAUUAAACCAGGAAAAGUUACAGUAUUUCCAAUAAAAAAAACAAGGACUUGUUUGAGAAAAGAAGUUAAUUUACAAUCACUUUAGAUUUAAAAUAACACGAUUAAUAUUAGUAGCUUAAUCAUACAAGUAAUACCAUAUCAUUUACCAUGACUGGUCACCAUAAUAUGUUAUAUCAUAAUAACUGUAAAGAGUAGUACUACCUUCUAUCUGUCAAUGGAAUAGCAAGAGUCAUGGCAUGAAUCAUGGUUAAUACAGUCUCUUUGGCAAACAUACCACAUCUUCUUUUAUUGAAAUCAAUAAUUUUUUGUAAAAGAUUUAAUGAAUUUCAGAAAAGGUAUCAAAAGUCAUAGGUACAUUGGGACAUGACAGUUGUUUUUCUAGACCGGCUUCUCCUUUUUUCCCAUAAAAUUUCCCUUUGGUUUCUAUUAAUUUUAAUAACACAUGGAUAAUUUUAGCGCUUAUCUGUAUAGUAUGUACAUUCAUUACUAUAAAUAAAGUGUAUUUGUUUUUUACUUUCAAUUCUCACUUUACUGAUCGAUCCACGGGCCAGAGGUCAUUGAUAUAUUAUACAGACGCUAUCAAUUGAUAAACUCUCUGACCGCAUUGGAUAGUUAACUUGAAAAUGAUAUCAGAAAGAAAAUACUCUUUAUUCCUAGUAAAUGUAUGUUCAAAGUAUAAAGAAAACGCAAACCGGAAGUCUACUCUGACUUAAAAUUUCGUCCAAUGUCGGAAUAAUAUCCGGACGCUUUUUUUCUCGUUUUUCUCCCAAAAUAACUCAAUCUGAAUAAUCAUAUGAAUGAAUGACAAAUGCGACUAUGCCAUGUACCUAUAGGACAUAGAGGCAUGAUGAUUAAUUUAUUGUGGAAAGAAGAGAUGCGACACACAAAAUGAGGUCUUCUCGUUUAAUAGUAUAGAUAGAUAGACAGAUAAUAGGUAAUGAAGUUGAUUAUAACAAAAACGAUACCAGUUUUUUUCCAGCACCUUUAUGGGCAUUUCGACAAUAUAUGUCUUUUCAGUCAUGAUUAAAACCCAUAUAUUUUAACUCGUUACCUUUGAAAAAAUGAAGAGCUCAUAAAACAAGAAGGACAAAAAGAAUGACAAAGUCAGCGAAGAAAUGAGCUGUAUAUGAAAAGAUAUAUUCCUUACUGUACAAUAAUUCUAAAAUUUUGUAACAGCAAGUUUAAAUGACAUAACAUCAUUAUUUUCAUGUCAAAACCUAAGUAAUGGUAACUAACCUUCGGGAACGUUGAAUCUAUUAGUGAAGACAUCAACCCAGUGGUAGAAAUAACAUAAACGAUGAACAUUUUUGGAACUAGAUACAAAUUUUUACAAAAACAUGUCUUUUCAGUGAUACCAAAGACCAAACUAUUUGAAAAUUUAAACCUUGUCAGAAAAAACUGAUGAGCUUAAAAAUAGUACAACCCGUAAUAAUAUGCGUUAUCGCAUUUUGUAAGCAUCAUAUUAGCAUUAUCUGUUAUCUGAAUUCAACAAACCCUAUAUGGUUUGUCUAACGUUGAAAGUCGUAAAGUGGACAAUAGUUAUACUAGACUUAAACGUCUUUUGACGGAGAUUUUUUUUCACUGGCAGUUAUACGCCAUCUUCUUCUUUGUAUAAAUAACUACAAUAACGGAUGCCCUUUACAUCAAAACAAAAAGAAUACACGCUAAUCGCUAUGACAGCUUUAAAUACAAGACACGUUUAAAACUGAACAAUUCGACUGUUGAUAUUGUUUAUUAUGUUUUUUGUUAUUUUAUAUUUAUAUGGAUCUUGUCUAUAUACCAGCUUUGAUUAUUUAGAAUAUAUUCUAAGUUUCACUUCUUCUUACUACAUUUGUAUAAACUUCAAGAUUUACCUGUAUUUUUUUAAAAACAGUUUUUUUUUCUAAAGUGAAUAUUUUUGAAGGGUUAAAUAUUUCGCAGUGGUGACUUGCCAUGGCUUUGUUUGGACUUCUUUGUUUGCUUUUCGGCCUUGAAUGUUUGUCCCUAAUAUUUUAUUAACUGUGUAUUUGCAUUCAGAUAUCGCAAAUCAAAUUUAUUCGUUUAUAGUGUAUUAAUGUACGUUUUUUUAUUGAGUUAAGCCUGCCAAUUGAUAUUUCAUUGUGUGUUUUUCUAUGUUGUGAUGUCAUGCUAUUGUUUCAGAAAAAGGGAGAAGGUUUGGACCCAUUAAAACGUUUAAUCCCGCUGCAAAUGUUUGCACCUGUCCUAUAAGCAGGAAUCUGAUGUACGGUAGUUGUCGUUUGUUUAUGUAAUUUAUACGUGUUUCUCGUUUCUCGUUUUUUUUAUUUUAUAUAGAUUAGACCGUUGGUUUCCCGUUUGAAUGGUUUUACACUAGUAAUUUUGGGGCCCUUUAUAGCUUGUUGUUCGGUGUGAGCCAAGGCUCCGUGUUGAAGGCCGUACAUUGACCUAUAAUGGUUUACUUUUUUUAAAUUGUUAUUUGGAUGGAGAGUUGUUUCAUUGACACUCACACCACAUCUUCCUAUAUCUAUUGAAUGAUAAAAUGAAAAACUAAAGGUUACAGCACCAAAUCGUUAUUUAUUAUAUAUGUAUAUCAAAACCAAUUUUGGCAAAAUAUUUAAUCUAAACAUAAUGUCUAUUUUUUAAUAUUGCAUUAGGCUGCAUUCUCGAAGAUACAACCCAACUCCGUUUUGGACAUUGCACAGAUUGGAAUAAUAAUGAUAUCGUAAAAUCUAAUACGCAAAAAUAAAUCAUUAUAAAUAAGAACGCGAAAUGAAAAUGAAAAUAUUACAAAAGAUUGAAAUCAGUAUUGUUAAUGCAUUGUUUUCAUAAAACACUUGUCACCCCUUUAGAAGUUUGCACAUUAUUUGUUAAUAUUUUACUUUUUGAAAUAAUAUUUUGAUACUUCUGAUAAUCAUUUACACCACUGGGUCGAUGCCAAUGCUGGUGGACGUUUCGUGGUUAUACAGUUUCAGUUGUCAGCACUUCGGUGUUGACAUGAAUAUCAAUUAUGUGGUCAUUUUUAUAAAUUUCCUGUGUACAAAACUUUGAAUUUUUCGAAAAACUAAAGAUUUUCUUAUCUCAGGUAUAGAUUACCUUACCCAUAUUUGGCAAAACUUUUUGAAAUUUUGGAUCCUCAAUGCUCUUCAACUUUGUACUUGUUUGGCUCUAUAGCUAUUUUGAUAUGAGCGUCACCGAUGAGUCUUAUAUAGACGAAACGCGCGUCUGGCGUACUUAAUUAUAAUCCUGGUACUUCUGAUUACUAAUUAAAUUCGUUUUGACAGCAUUUAUGUUCCCCCCGAUGAAACGAUAUGUUAUUUAGUUUUCAUAAUUUGUGAAUACAAAGUUUAAUAAUCAAAUGAGAGAAUAAAUCUUUAAUAGAAAGAACACUGUACAAAUAUGAAAUGUUUAAGUUCUAUUUUUUUUUUCUUAAAUCCUUGACUUAUUGUUCGUGUUCGAAGAAAAUUUUCUGUCAAAUAUACUCCAUAUUCGUACUUUAUUUAGUCUAUUUUACCUUUUUUUAUUCUAAUGUCACUGAAGAGUCUUUUGUAGAUGACACGGGCAUCUGGAGUACAAAAUUAUGUCCUGAAAUCUUCAAUACACAUACAUAAAAUUACAUAAAUCUAAUCAAUAAAGAAAAAAAUAUGGAGUAUCAUUGGACAAAGACAAUGCUGUAGACUAAAGGUCAUCGAUUGACUUUCAAAUGUAAAUACAUUCUAUAUAGUAUAUGUAGCUGUAUACGUCCCAUCAUACCCAAAUGCUCAACUUUACACAAGUCAAAAAGUAUGGUGUGAUUUAGCACUCAACAUUAACGGAAAAACAAAUUAUGACAGUAGAUAAUCGACGACCACUGCUUGAUUACAGGAUCCUGAUAAACAAACAUAUAAUGAAGCUUUGUAAAAUAAAGGCAACAGUAGUAUACCGCUGUUCAAACUCAUAAAUCCAUGGACAAAAAACAAAAUCGGGGUAACAAACUACAACUGAGGAAAACGUAUUAAAUAUAAGAGGAGAACAACGACACAACACUACAAUGUUACACACACAGAAACGGACCAAGCAUCAGAAAAAAUCCCCCGAGAAUAACAAAUAUAACAUCAAAACCAAAUACGUGAAUUUGGGAUAGACAAGUACCGUGACACGUCUUAUCGCAAUGUGAAUUUACACUCAAAAAUAAGAGAAAACAAACAACGCAACGUUAAAAUGUAACACGCACAGAAACGAACUAUAAGGGAGCUACCAUUUGAUUUUUAUGGGGGGGCUAGGAUGAAAUUUGAAAAAAAUAGGCAGGACGGGAAUUUUGAGUUAAAAAAAAAGGCAGGAUGAGACACUUUAAAAAAAAAAGUCAGGAUGGCAAUUUAGGUAAAAAAAAAACUAGAAUAAAAAAAAAAGGCAGACAAUGAAAAUAAUAAUGCAGGACAGAGUAAAUGCAAGCCAUCAAUGGUAGUCUAAUGUAACAAUGCCACUUGACUUGUACAGGACAUUUUUAACAGGAAAAAAUGUGAUUGAACCUGGUUUUGUGGCAUGCCAAACCUCCCUCUUUUAUAGCCAUGUGAAAUAUAACAUUAAAAUGACAACUCAACACCACAGGACUACAAUAUAAAUAAAUUGGAGAACACAAUCGACAAAGAAACACACAAACAACAGCCAACAAAAGGCAACAAGUUCAAAAUUUUAAUACGCCAGAAGUGCAUUUUGUCCACACAAGAUCUACUAGUGACGCCCAGAUACAAAAGUUUGAAAGCCGAAACAAGCACAAAGUCGAACAGCAUCGAGGACCAAAAGAUCAAAAAAUGUGUGCCAAAAACGGCCAGGGUUUUCUGUUAGUUACCAGAACAUCCCUAUUAUUUAGAAUAAUUUAUACUUUUGCAAACAGUAAAUUUAUAAAAUUAUAAACAAAAGAUGUACAUGAUAAGACUGAAGUAUUAUCUAAUUACAGGAAACAACUGAAAUACAUUACAUAACCAGACAUUUGUAACACAAAAUGUAGACAAAUCCGAAUAGGUUUAAACCUGAACGCCAAGUGACGUCAUAUUUGAAAUUGUAAAAAAUGACAAAAAAAUGACGUCAUAUGAAUUUGUAAAACAGAUCAUCAAAAAAUGAACAAUGACGUCACAUUUGAAUGAAUAAGAUAGAAUUAGGGUUGAUUUAAGAUUAUAUUUGAACUUAAUACUGAUAUUGCAUUUAAUAACAAUGCACAUUUUAAUACUUAUUAAUAGCAAACUAAGGUAGCAAUUAACGAUAUUAUAAAGCUAUGUCCGGUUUGUUUUGAAUUUAACUUGAAACGUAAAAUAUCGUACUGAUUACGUUGAACAAAAUGAAAUUUAAUGAAUGAAUGCGGUGAUAAAUUUGUUUUAAACCAUAACACAUAAAUAUAAUAGAAAAGACGUCAACACAUUUGACAAAAUCCGAUGAGAAUUACAAAUAUAACAUUAAACAUUUAAACUAAAUACAUGAAUUUGGGAUAGACAAGUACCGUAACACGUCUUAUAGUAAUGCGAAUUCACACUCAGCAAAACAUUCACAAUCGGGAAUAAGUUACGUUCGGUUAUUAAAAGAUUAGACGACAUAAUGACAAACCACAAUCUACCAUGUGGUAAAAAUGUCCUUAGCUAACUUGGUGAAAGACACAUCGUAUGGAUCCACCAAUUCGUGAUGGUGUCCAUAAAAUUUACGGAGUGUCAAUUUUAAUCUGUCCUCCUCAUAACUUUGUUGCAGCAGUUUCUGCGUAAGGAGCACACUCCUGUAUAUGAAGUCCGUAUAGUAUGAACAAGCACGAGAAUGACGUAUCAAUUGUGAUAUGUAAACACCAUACGAAGGGGCAGAGGGUAUGUUACUGCUGAGAAAUGGGAAAUUGAUAAUUGGGAAGUUGAAAUCGUCCCGUUUAUCAUAGAUUUUCGUGUGAAGUCGUCCAUCUACGUCAAUAUUGAGGAAAAGAUCAAGGUAUGAAGCAGUCCUUCUAUUAUCAGUAGUAUCCUUAAUUUCAAGUUCACUGGGAUAUAUGAGAUGUAGGUAUUGGCUGAAAUAUGGGUUAUUCAAUGAUAGAACAUCAUCAAUAUAUCGAAAAGUAAAAUUAAAGAAUUUUGCAAGGUGCUUUUUUCUUUUGUCUUUUAGAAGGUUCUGAAUGAAUUCUGCUUCAUACGAGUACAAAAACAAAUCAGCCAGCAGGGGUGCACAAUUAGUACCCAUUGGAAUACCGACUGUCUGUUGAAAUAUAAAUCCUCCAAACUCAACAAAUAUAUUGUCGAUCAAAAAGUCCAGCAUAUUGAUAAUAUCAUCUUCAGUAUAUUUUCUGGAAGAUUCAGUGUGAUUCUUCACAAAAUAUGAAUUAUUGUAACCCAAAACAAGAAAUUUGUAUCUACGGUUCCCAUUUUUAUAGAAAAAGCUCUGUUUUAUGAGAUGGUGAAGUCGAUCUUUCAACUGAGCAUGGGGAAUAGUAGUAGUAUAUAGCGUAGAAAAAUCAAAAGUUUUCAUGUUGCUGCAAAAUUGCAAAGAUUGUGAUCGAAGGUUAAGCAGUAGAUCUUUCGAAUUUUUGAGAAUCCACAUCUGGUUAACACCACUGGUAGAAUAUAUCUCCUCACAAUAUUUUUGAAGCCCAUCUUUAACUGUAGAAAGAUGUUUAGUCGAACAUUUUGAAGACCCAGCUAUGUAUCGUUCUUUAUAUGGAGUUUUGUGUAAUUUAAGUAUCCAGGAUAAUGAAGGCAAGUUUUCUUCGUUUUCUUUGAUGUUGAUACCAAAAGAAAGAAGGACAGAUUUAUGAUUUUGUAAAAACUCAUUUGUGAACUCUCAAAAAAAAAAACAUAGACCAAAUGUCUUCUUUGUUUGUAAUUGAUUGUUCCAAAAUCGAUCAAAUUCAUAUGUAUGUAAUAGUAUACGUGCACUUGCAUAAGGUCGAUUUCUAUCUGAAACAAAUCAAAUUUAAGUUCGAAGCCAAAUUUCAACUUAUAAAUUAAACUAUGCUCCGAUCAAAUUGUCACUGAGUUUACAUCAUAAAUAGUUUAGAAAAAAACGUGUUCUUAUGUAACAUUGAAAAAUAAAUCAGGGCAGGAUGUAGGAAAAUUAUUGCAAAAUUAAUGGAUUAACAUGAAUGUAAAGUUAUGUAAUAUAAACUUUAAAAACUAAAUCAAUGAACGUGCAAAUGAAGAAUAUAUUCUAAGGAAUUACUGUAACUUUAAUGUUAUAAUAUUUAAGAUCAAAUGUAUUGCAUAUAAAUAAACUCAUCAUAGAUACCAAGAAUGAAAUAUCGCAGUUGAUUCAGACUUGCGUUUCGUGUACAUAAGACUUUUCAGUGACGCUCAAAUAAAGUACGAAAUUGAGUAGAAUUGAGAACAAAACAAUCGUUUAAGUGUUGCCCAAUACAACUUAAUUUUUUUGUAAGUUAUUGUAUCUUAUUUCACGAGCUCUAAGAGUAACAUCACCAUUAACAUUAAAAUGUGGUUUACCCGUCAGUAAUAUGUUUUUUACAAAUACAGCCAAACGUCCAACCUAAAUCUUCUUAUUAAUGAAAAAUACAUUUUCAAUACGGUGAUUUUGCAAGCUAUUCGCAAGAAAAUACCAAAAAGAAUAAAAACCACAUUUUUAAAUUGUGUUUGCUUUAUUGCAUUCAUUUUAAAUUGCCAGUUUUAAUAAAGUUCAUUAUAUAUAAGGUAUUGAAUACCUGAACAACUUGAAGAAAUAUAAGUAUGCAAUAUUUAUGCAUUAAAUACAAAGAUAUUUUACAAUAAACGCAUAUCAUAAAUAAUAGAUCAUGACAAAACAAUUAUGAAAUUUAAAUAUGAAUAACAAGAAGUCUACAGAAAUUGUCAAACUUCCAACCCAAUUAUUAGCGUAGGGAAGAGUGUACCUGUGCUAUUCGCUUGAUUUUGAUUUUUCUCAGAUAUUCGAAGAUUAUCUGGGAAAGUUCAUUAUAAUCUUCAGUAUAUAUAUAUUCUUGGUAAUGGCUAGUGUAAUUGGUGAGAUUACUGCGAUAACUAUGCUUAAUCUUGUUUCGGUAAAUGAUCCUAGAAACACAUUUUAAACGACUAGAUCAUGUUAUUGCUCCUUCAUACGUCUAAAUAUGCGUGUUUGAAACUCUUGCUACAAAUAUGAAAAAAAAACCAUUCCAGAAAUCAACAACUUGAAAAAAACAUCCGUUGAAACGAUUAAAACUCACCGUCUCGAAAAUUAAGAUGUAACAGUAAUUAAUAACAAAAAUGUUGUUAUAAUCUUCUAUAACAAAGUUAUCAAGUGGUGUAAUAUCAUUAAUGAUUUUCAAUUGUCCUUUUCAUUGAAUUAAAAAAAAACAUUAUUUAGCGUUCAAAGACGAUUACAUAUGAAUAAAGUGAAAUGAUGACAUCUGACAUUUUUAUAUACUUUCAAAUGUUAUAUCUAAUAAGUUAGCAUUUUACAUUUAUUUUUGAAAUGUUCAUUAAUAAAAUUUUCUAAUAAUUUGUGUUUUCUGCAAUUUGCAUUUACUUCUAAAAGAUUUACUCAAUAAUGUCAAAUCCAUAAAAUAAUGUUUCAUAUUCCGGAAUACCACUGUUCUGUUGAAACAAAAGUUGUUUAAAGAGGAGAGUUAAGAAUUAUUCUGACGGGUCUCAUGAGAGAAAUAAAGGGAACUUUACGAUUAUAUUUGUUGAAAAUUAUCUCAGAUUAUUAUGUUAUAUUAUCCACAUCUUCUUUUGUUUGAAUAUAAUAUUUACUGUAAACAUUUAAUUAUCUCCUUAGUGUAAUUAAAUUCUCUGUUCAAUAGAGGCCUUGCUUUCGAACUAAAGAGUACAGGUGAAAAUUAAACGUUGACUCAAUUUUAAUAAACAAUACUAAAACUUAAAUAAAACACAUACAAAGUUAUUUGUAUGAUUAUUACUACAAGCGAACUAUUUUUUUCAUAUAAAUUAAGCAGAAAAGAAUCGGAAAAGAAAAUUUUCUCCCUUGCAAAGAUUGCAAUUAGCAUAUAAAAUGAAAACGGCCAUUUAGCAAUAAAAACAGAUUGAAUUCGAAUUGAAGAAAAAAAUCUAAGGAUGUUUCGAAACGAGGAACUACAACUUAUAAGACCAAAACAUUAUUUCAACAACUGUGGUCCGAUUAAUAUACAAAAUAAUGAAUUAAAAAAUAUGAUAAACAGCAACAAACGAAGCACUGACUCAUAGACUCCAAACUCAGGACAGGCACAUACAGAGUGUUUCGAGGUUAAACUAAUUUGAAGGCGCCAACUCUUCCCCUUACCUGGGACAAUUGUGUAAAAGAACAACAUAAGAGCAAACUGUAAAAAUCAGUUUAAAAGACAUUACUCAUCAGAUUGAUACAAGAUUAUAUCUCUUAUUUCAGCAUAUCUAAAGAGAUUUUUAAUUUUAAAAAACUUUGAUUUUAUGUGAAAAAAGUUACAAUGCUUAAACAGUACUUCAAAUUCAGAUAUUUCUCUCUGCUUUAAUUGAUGUGUUGGUAAAUGGGUUUGAAAUGAAAAAAAGAAUUACCAAACUCCGAGAAAAAUUCGAAAAAGAAAGAGUCACACGACAAACAAAAGCUCAAAAAGAUCAAACGAAUUGAGACAUCCCUUAGAAAAGAUGAACUUUAUUUGACCAAGUUUUAAUCAACCAAUAAUUUCGAGUAACACGUUAUCACUUCAAUUCUACAGUUUGUACUGCAUACAUAUAUUAACACAAUUGAAUCAAAGUUAAAUAGUUAUAUUUAUUAAGUGUAUGAUUGACAAUUCAUUAUAUAUAUAUAUACACUAAAAAUUCAAUCAACAUUUUUUAUUCGGCAGAUUGAGAUAUGGUCACAAAAAGGUCCAUACUUGAAAUCAGACUAUGUCAGAACAUCAUAUGGUUCAAUAAUUGAUUUUCAGAAAAAUAAUAGGAAAUAUUUUGCUAUUUUAAAAUAAUCUAAAAUUUCGAGAAGUUAUUUAGCUCCUGCAUAUUUCUUAUAAGUUGUUCUGAUUUAGAUUUAUUUUUGUCCCUUUUGGAUUAAUCAGCUUUUUAACAUUUGUAUUAGGGUUUGUACUUUCAAAUAUUUUAGCCACCAAGGAAACAUUCAUUGUCCAAAUGUGAUCUGUAAUGAUGCAGCUACAUUUGUAUCUUUCGCUUUCAAAUAUUUUAGCCACCGAGGAAAUAUUCAUUGUCGAAAUGUGAUCUGUUAUGAUGCAGCUACAUUUGUAUCUUUAAUAUUAUUAUUACCAAUUGGUCGAUAUAUACAUGAGAUACUGGUAGAAUGUUAGUCUCCGAUGGUAUCACCAGGCCAGUGAUUUUUUUUUAAUUUGCAAAUCAAAAACACCUAAUUAUAAAGUAACAUAUAACACAUAUGGUAGUUAAUUAAGAAGAGAAAACACUGCAUGUUCAUAUGCUUGUUCUAUUCAUAUUAUUUCACUUUAUACAAAAUAAAAUUUUAUAUCAAUAACGUGUUCUGCUUUGGGUCAUUUAACAUUGUUAUUUAUCUGAGUUUCAUUAGACAAUAAGUCGUUGUUAUGCAUUAGUGACAUAUAACAUAAUUGUAAUUAUCAGAUGAUAUACAAUUGUCUAUAAUUUAUAUCAAUUUUAUAUGUAUUUUGCUUUCUAACUAUUUUGAUCUGAGCGUCAUAGAUUAGUCUUAUGUAGACAAACGCGCGUUUGGUAUAUCACAUUAUAAGCCUGAUACUUUUCUUAACUAAUUAUAAACAUUAUCAUCUACAUAUUUUGAUAUGAUGAUUAUUAAAGAACUCCAUACAGAUCAAGUAUCUUGAGAUACAUACCCUAGUUGGCUAAAAUAAAAAAGAAGAUGUGGUAUGAUUGCCAAUGAGACAACUGUCCACAAGAGACCAAAAUGAUAACAGACAUAAACAACUAUAAGAAAUGAUGAAAAAAAUAAAACACGCAACAGUAUUUAGACGAUAUAAGCACGUAUAAGCUAUAUUUGAUAUGACAUUUGUUUAAAUUAUUGCAGAGAGGAGUAUAAUGUUAUAAUUAUUGUCAUAAAAUAUAUGGCAGUUAAACGAUGUCUAUUUGAACACCAUAAGUCUAGAUAAGGGUAAAUAAUCGUUGUAUUUUCGCUUUGUUCAACAUGAAAACGGAAAUGCUAUUUUGUGAAAAACGUAAAAUUUGCGCAUCCGACUAUCAUAACUUCUUUUGUAGUUGUAGAAAUACUGAGACUUCUUUACAAGAAAUAAUUCAAUAAAUCAAUUACAUUUUUUCUUAGAAGUUGUUGAUGUUUUUUGCUUUAUUUUAGCUCGAUUUCUUGUUUUCUUUUUUUUGUCUGUUUGUUGUGUUUUCUGGCUAAUGUUCAAUAUAUUUCGUAUUCUUAUAUGUUUUGCUCUAUCUUUCUUGAAGAAGGAAAAUCAAUGAAGAGCGUUAAAUACCCCAUACGUUUGUCAUUGAAUUUGAUACACUUAGUUAACAGGAAGAAAAUUGAGAAAUAAUUCAGCAUCUGUUUCAAAACAAGAUUCUGUCGCACCUAACAAACACAAUACUUGAUAACAAUAAUUCAAACAGUAUAUAUAAAACAUAGAUUCAAAAAUAUUAAAACCUGAAAGAUGUAUGGCCUUUGUUAGUCAUGUAUGAUUUUUAAUUUUAGCUUCUUAUUAGUGUAUAAUUCGGAGUUUAGUAUGACGUCCAUUAUCACUGUACUAGUAUACAUAUUUUUUAAGGGGCCAGCUGAAGGACACCUACGGGUGCGGGAGUUUCUCGCUACAUUGAAGACCCAUUAGUGGCCUUCGGCUGUUGUCUGCUCUAUGGUCGGGUUCUUGUCGCUUUGACACAUUUCCCAUUUCUUUUCUCAAUUUUAUUAUAUAAAAAGAAAAAAUACAACUCUACUAUACUUUUUUUUAAAAUGCUUGGAUGAUAAGAAUAAUAUACAAAAAUAGUCUGUACCAUGACAAGGUACUUAAUUAAUAUUUUGAAUGCAUAUUAUGCUUCUGUGAACAUACUUAUUGAUAACCAGUUAUCGUCGAUGUUAUAUCAUGUAAACUUUUUCUAGUCAUUACAUAAAUAGAAAAGCGAAAAGGAAGCACAAAAAACAUUAAAUUUGUCCAUAUAUUCAGGAAAUAGAAAACACUGUCCAACGAUAGUAGUACAAUGAUACAUACGGGAAUCAGCAUUAACCAACCAAAGUGCUUUUAUAAGUUGCUGUUCCAUAAUUAUAUCGAAACUAUGUUGCUUUUGACAUGAGACAAAACAUACUGAAUGGGAUUGUUUCCAUCCUUUUGUUAUCCUGUGUGCACUAUUAUACUUAUUAUGAAUUUAAUGCCAUGCAUUUAAGUGUGACACUUAAUCAACUAAUCCGAUUACACUUUGCAGAUAUUGUGUUUUCAUUGGAGAUUAUGUCAUUUUCAAUUACCAUUAAGUAAUAAUACGUAGGCUGUGAUUGGAUAAUGGGAUUGAUUUUCACAAUACGUUUCUUCAUUUUUUUUUAAUGUUGUCAAAUUGAUUAUAGCCGGUUUUGACUUUUCUAUUUAGAUACAUUUGGUGUUAUGUGUCUGAUUUUCCAUGCAGUUAAUCUUUUGUAACUGUUGAUGUUCAUUUUAAACAACAGAGUCAUGUGUAUUGAAAUCAUUAUCAUACGUUUUCAUUUCUAAGAUAGAAAAGUACAUGGCAUUAGUAGUAGUACAAUUUAUUCUUUAAUUACCUAAAAAAAGAAGACAGUGGAUUGGUUCAUUUAAGAAGGGAUUAUUCUUAUAUUGAGGGAUUAGCCGUAUAGUAAACAUCAUUACAAAGACAAUUAUCCUGGCAAAGUAUCGUCCGAUCAAAUAAUUAACUUUAAACACAGUCACGUCAUAUAGAUAAAGCUUUUCCUCGUAUUGAAUAAUCACUCGAAUGACGGCUUGAACGGCUCUAGCACUAACAAUAAGUAGCAAAGUUUGAAAUUGGUUUUCACAGAGGUCUAAAGGUACUGAUUGAUCAUUUACACAUUCAUUUAAACUUUAAUUGAAAAAAUAAUGAAAUAACAUUGUUUUUACUCAAAAUCAUUUCAUAUUUUACUAACCAAUCAUCACUGUCACACAUUCUGUAAAUAUUGAAAUAUAAAAUAAAAUAGAUUUUCAUGCUUUUUUCAGGAAUGCAUAUAUGACGUUUUAACAUUAAAUGUCAAGAAAAACACCUUGUGAUUGUUAUUCAAAAAUGGGUUUUGAACUAGGCUUGUUACCACUUUCUUAUUUUGGUCCCAGAGGACAAAUAGAAUCGAACAUUUAUUUUUAUUUUUGUCAUAAUAUGUCAACUACAAUAAUUAUCUUGAUCAUUCGGAGUAGUAUAUCAACCUGAAGGUAUUAUUUAAUAGAGGCAGUUACACAUGUAGUGUGAACAACAAAAGAAACAAAAACCAACACAAUUCGAAAAAAAGUAAUUGAAAAUUAUCAGAAAAGACCUAUAAACAUAGACUUCUGUGGUCACUACUGUUUUGAACUAGCUUUUAAAAAAUACUAGUUUCAUCAUAUUGUUAGUAAUGUAGUAUUUUUUUACGAUAGUUUUUUUUGGUGCUCAAUAUCUCUUUGAUGGAUAAUGCCGUUUAAACUGAUAUUUGUAGUGUCUUAUUCAUCAAAUACAAGUUAAACUUUGUUUAAGGAAGUUUGCUACUCAGUUUCAAAAUAACAAGCUUUUCAUAAAACUAGUAUAUAUUGACAGAGGAGUAAUAAAGAAACCAAAAGAGCAAAACAAAUAUAUAUAUAUAUAUAUACAUAUAGGUCAAUGCGCUUGUUUUCGAGAUAUAAGCCAUUAAAAUUUUGGCGGGAACAUGUUCUCUCUUGGUUUUUCAAAUUUUUUUAAGGCAUUCAAAUUGAUAAAACCAGAGGAUUGCGAAAAUCUGACAAAAAUUCCAAAACAUCACAAGAGAACUUCCUUAAAUGAUAAUUGUGGAUGUCUUUGGGUUUUUUUUUUCGUAUUCGUUCAUACCCCUUUAUUAUAAAUAAGGUAUGUGGUUUUCUCUGUAUCCAUAUUUAAUCAUCAUAGAACCUGUUUUAGCUUUUUUUGCAGUAACUUUCUUCUACAUGUUAUAUAAAAUCACAAAAUAAAACCAAAUUUUUUGAUAAAAUGUAUCUAUAAAGAAUAGAUGUAUAUUUAUCCCUACACUGAUAUUAGCGGGAAAGUUUUGUUAUAUUUUGCAAUCUUAAAAAAACAAUUCAUAUAUGUUAUAAUACGUACGUUUAAAUUGCAUAAAAAUAACAGAGAUCUUACUUUUGUACAAAAAAUGCCUUCAUUGCAAUGCGCCACUCAAUUUAUGAUUAUAAUUUCUCGGUAUUAUUGUUGCAUUUAUGUGACGAAGUCUGAUUGAAAAGAAAAUGCUUUUCAAUAUAGGAGGAUAAUUUUAAAAGUUAUCAAAGGUACCAGGAUUAUCUCAUAUAAUAUGUUUUGUAAUUUUCCUUCUGCAUUAUUUAUCGAGAAUUUGUUUUCGGUUAUCCUAUUAAAACCGAUAGAAAGCAUUAUAUAAAAUUGGGCUGUAACUAGAUAAUAGAAAAAUAAAGGCAACAGUAGUAUACCGCUGUUCAAACUCAUAAAUCCAUGGACAAAAAACAAAAUCGGGGUAACAAACUAAAACUGAGGAAAACGUAUUAAAUAUAAGAGAGGAGAACAACGACACAACACUAAAAUGUAACACACACAGAAACGGACUAAGCAUCAGAAAAAAUCCCCCGAGAAUAACAAAUAUAACAUCAAAACCAAAUACGUGAAUUUGGGAUAGACAAGUACCGUGACACGUUUUAUCGCAAUGUGAAUUCACACUCAAAAAUAAGAGAAACAAACGACGCAACGUUAAAAUGUAACACACACAGAAACGAACUAUAAUAUAACAAUGGCCAUAUUCCUGACUUGGAACAGGACAUUUUUAAAAAGGAAAAAAUGGUGGGUUGAACCUGGUUUUGUGGCAUGCCAAACCUCCCAUGUAAAAUAAAACAUUAAAAUGACAACUCAACACCACAGGACUACAAUAUAAAUAAAUUGGAGAACACAAUCGACAAAGAAACACACAAACAACAGCCAACAAAAGGCAACAAGUUCAAAAUUUAAUACGCAGAAGCGCAUCUCGUCCACACAAGAUCCAGUGACGCAAGAUACAAAAAAAGUGAAAGCCGAAACAUAAAAAAGUCGAACAACAUCGAGGACCAAAGAUCAAAAAGUUGUGCAAAAACGGCCAGGGUUUUCUGUUAGUUACCAGACAUCCUAUUAUUAGAAUAAUUCAUACUUUUCCAAACAGUAAAUUUAUAAAAUUAUAUACAAAAGAUGUAUAUAGAUAAUAGAAACUCAUUGUGAAACUGUACAACACAAUCAGUUCAUCAUGACGUUUAAAUUUGUCAAGGAAACUUUAAUGAUUAUUGUUUAGGUUAUUAAUGUUGUUUAAUGCAAAAUAGAAGCUUUAAUCUGCAGAAAUAUCUCAUGCGUCUUAUAUCAAUUUUUGUUUAUACACAAAUAUAGUCUUAAAUAACUUGACUUCACGAGAGAAAUUUGGAAAAGGAAAUAUCAGCUUAAACUUGUUCCACAUUAACUGCACCCUGCAUUGAUAUUUUUCUGGGUCAUUGUAUUGCAUGUUAGAUAACACCUGAUUGGCCGGAAAAUAACUGAAUAAUUAUUCAUUAUACAAAAAAUGAUUAAAAAAAAUAAAAUAAAAUAUGUGACAUACCUGAUAUGAAUUCAGCAGAAUCUUUUUAAUUUAUUUGAAUAAAAAAAAUACUUAAAUUUCCCUAAAAUGUUAGACAAGUUUCAAGACAAGGAUGAUUUUAAUUACACAAUUCCAUGUUAUUUGAAGCAUACAUGUUUUAUUCUCAUUCUAAGAAAUAUAUUCAAAUUAUGUAUACGUACUCAUUCUUUUUCCAAUUGUGUUAAUAUAUUUGAAAGUUAAUGCAUGUAAAUGAAUAUCCUUGGAAUCAGGAGUUGCGUCUCUUUCGAUAGAUCGAUGCUGAUAUGAUGUUCUGCUAAUAUUAAACGUUAAAAGGUUUUUAAAAUAAGGCAGAUUUUCUUUCUUAUUAUGAUUACAAGAUUUAUAACUUUUAUGAUCAUAACUUUUUUUGUUGAACUGUCGACUGAAGGGAGUACCCAACACUUUGACUAAAAUAAAUAUGAACCAUACAAUUGAAAGGAAUAGCUACAUUGGAUAUAUAGCAGUUUAACAUGCUCAUUUUGUUCACUGAAAAGCUUGAUUUUUCUUUACUAAAUAUUUUGUGAUAACAAAUGUUUAGUGGAAUUUGAAAGCUUUUUCUAAGAUGUUUUAUACCCCAUUUGGUUAUCUUUUUCGAAUGGAUUUCACCGCAUAAUUCUAAUUUCAUUUUUAUCUUAUUGAUUUUUCAUUGAAUCAUAUUUUGAUGAAAUUUAAUGAAAUUUAAUGGUAAGACAUGAAUUAUAUAUUUCAAUUUACUUGACAGUUAAUAUAAUCGCUUUAAUAAAUUUGAAUAAUGUAAAGUAUUGAAUUAUUUAUCAAAUUUCUCUGAAAACAAUCAAAAAUUUAAACCUAUUAGAAAUUAUGCUAAAAUGAUAUAGCCAAAAAUUGCAUUAUUUUCCAUGGUAUUAGUAAAAGCAUAUUUCCAGAAGUGGGGUUAAACCGAAACAGUAUAAGUUUUAAAUAAUUGAAGUCCCUGCUUAUUUCCAGUUGACAUUUGGAAUUUCUGUACAUUUACGGAAUAUAAAAAAUCUUUCUAAACAUAGCGGUUUUUUUACUUUACUGUUUAAAAUGCCUAAGCCCGAUAUGAUUUUUUUUUUUGUUGUUGAUUGUAACGUUCUAUAAUUUGAAUUCGAUUCGGUCUUCCAACUUUUCUACUCUAUCGCCACUGAAUGGUCUAAUAUAGACAAAACGCACAUUGAGUGUAAGAAAUUAUGAGACUGGCACCUUUAAUGACUUUUUUAAAUACUAAUGACGCUAUAUAAAUAACAAAUAUUAUCGAACCUUUUAUGAUAGACGUGCAUCAUAUUUAUAAUCAAAAGCGAAAUGCACGGACGGAACACGUAAUAACCGAGAAGGUGGACGGACAAGCGAAAAAUUGAUACAAACUGCAGACAAGAUUAAUAUAAAUUACAAACACUUUAACCUAGAUAGAGAGGAAAGAGCAUCAGAUCAAACUUUACUUGUCUUUUAAAGAAAAUAAAUCGUUUCACUAUGGAUUCGAAUUUGUUUACAUGUAUUAGAGUAUUUGAUGAAUUCCUUAUUCAGCACACACAGUUAAUGUAAUUAUUUCCAGUUUAAUAAAACGUUUCCUUUUCAUUCUUUACAAUUUAUUUUUCCAAUUGAAAGAGUCUCCUUUAAGUAAUUGCAUCCUCUUGUCAAAACACCUCUCGUUACUCAUUCUGACAGCAAUUAUAUUACUUCUAGUGUGCAUCAAAAGCUUUCAAUCAUUACAUAAUAUAACAGCUCAAAUAAUGUUAUCGAACAUCAAUUACUUUUUUCUAAAUAAAUAACGUUUAAAAGAAAUGAUUGAGUAUAAUCUCUGCGAUUCAGACUGCGUGCUGGGUGCCGUUUUUACGUUUCUGUAAUAGUAUUUAUUAGCUAAACGUAGAAAUAUAUUUUGUAGACUGUUCAUUUAUUUUGUACGAGAAAAGUAUAUGUCUAUACCCUAAUUAUUGGCAUGAAUGGGAUUUCUUGCGUGAGUGGUUCUUAUAGAUUGCUCCUUAUAUAGUUAUCCAUGGAAUGUCAAACGAAACCCAACUGUUUGCAAGUUUGAUAGAAUAGCUUUACACUGGAGAUUAUAAAAAUGAAACAGAAUCACCAUUGUGGCGAUCAAAUCUGUCUACAAUUGAAGGUUUUGAAGUUAAUUACUUUUAUAAAAUCAGAUGAAAAAUACUAUACCUCACAUGUUUAAUCUUUUUUUGGAGGAAUCAUAACUUAACGUAGGAAAAAAUAACUCAGAGAGACUUGAAAAAGAUAUGUAGUCUAAACCAAAUGUGUACAUGAACGACAAUCACAACCAAGCAAAGUUUUGAUAAUACGAAUUAAAAUAAAAAUCUUAACACACGGAGUUUUCCCGGACUGGUUUAGGCAAUGAAAGAUUAUCUAGCUUCGCUAUUUAUUAAGGGUUGAUUUCGGGAAAAAAGACAAAAGGCAUUUAAGAAAAUAUGUAUUCAAUCACUAAUGGAAGAUUCGCUGCCACUCGUAUUCAUGUGGUCUUUUAAUUGUUUUGAAUCGAGCGUCACUGACGAGUUUUAUGUAGAAUUUUAGAUACAAAAUUAUAAACCUGAUAUAUAUUUUUUUAGUUUUUCAAGACGUUAAUGCCAUCAUUUUUUUCUUCAUGUUCAUUUCCGACUUUAUGAUGUCGAUAACGGUUAAUGAAAGUCUUAGAAAAAAGCGCAAAACCAACGUCAUUAAUUUCUAGCUUCUUUGGAUAAUCACCUUUUACCUGUAAAUAACGUUUAAACAUUGUAUUGAUGAAAGAGGUAAAAGAUCUUUUAACAGACAGUUUGAUUAAGGGAUUAACAGGAUUUAUUUUCCUUUCUGAAGGCAAAUUGAUGAUAAAUAGUUGCUAAUAUCCAAUUCAUUAGGAAUAUUUUAUAUAAUUGUCAUAUAUUGUAUCACAUUUACAACCAUUUACAACAAGAACACAAGAAUAAAAGAAAAUGAUCAAAAGACAUUAAAUCAUUGAAAGCGUAUGAACUUGUUCUGGAAUAAUACAGUCACUCCACAGGUUUUCUAAUUAUAUUGUUUAUUACAUAUACAAAUUCAGUGUAAUUUCUUUUAAGCUGUGUCACAUUGGUGGUUUAUCCAAUCUUACUUAUAUAUUCAUGAUAUUCAUCAUUGGGUUUCAUGUAUUGGGGAACUGAGCGCUCCUUGUAAAAACACAUAAGACCCAUGAAAUGUAUAAAGUGUUAUUUCCAUUGUAUAAGGAAAUGAAAAAUAAUUGACCAAAACAACUACUUGGUCCAUUUUAUAAGAAAAUACAUUAGUCUCGCUCAAAUCAACUUCUGGUUUAUCAUAGCCAUAUAUGUAUGUGCAUGUCUCAUUGUUGCAAGGGGUUUUCUCAAGUCAUAUCUUAAUCAAACUUAUACGAGUUUGACUGUCCCUUUGGUAUCUUUCAUCCCUCUUUCAAUGAUAAUGUUAUUUGAAUACAUCUACAAUGGUGGCAGAUCUUCAUAGUUCUGUUUAAUUUAUGCACUUUGUUUUAAAAUCCAAGCAACUCAUAACUUUACAUCUUAUAUAGGCAUCUGUUUAAAAGAAUUACUAUCAUCAAUACCUGUCGUUUAGAAUAUUUAUGUUGGGCUACAGUCAGAAAACGAGGAGGACUUUGAUAUAUAAUAUAUGUAAAACCUGCCUUUUGGUGUAGAUUUUUAUUCGUCUUCUUGAUGUAUCUGGUUUAUUGUGACGUACUGUUUUGAAUCAUUAACAUAAACCCCGGAUUGUCAUAUUUCAUAAAAUAUGUCUGCUUGUGGGUGUCGUGGUAAUGCAUUGUAUAUUCACAUAUUUUCAAUAUCAUAUUUGACUAAAGUGUAGUUAAUACAGUCCAGUGGUGGUUUUAUGAUAUUAUUCGUUGUUAUUUACAUCACCAGGAGUUAUACAUUAUCUGUUUUGAUAACAUCGACUCACCAGAGAAUUCACUUCGUACGUUAUAUAUCUUAGAAGAGAGUUUAUCAUUCCAAUAAACAUUUAAAUCUUUGACAGUUAAGAAACUUUUUGUGAGGAAUUUUGUAUUCUGGUAUUACAACAGAAAAUUAAAAAUGACAGUUGCCUGCAUGACGUACUUUAUGCUUUAUUGUUUGGGAAGGUUGUAGUGUGGUUUAUUAUACUGCCUAUGGAUUCAAGUUGCUGCAUCUGCACAAGUAAUAGUAAAACAUUUACAAUAUACUUAAAGGUCUGUUAGAACUUACAACAACAGAAAUCGUCUUUAUAAGUUAAACAAACUAUGUUUGCAUCAAUUGAUGCAUAAAAAAGUAAAAUUAUUACAAAAAAUACUGAACCCGAGGAAAUUUCAAAACGGAAAGUCCCUAAUUAAAAGAAAAAAUCAAAUGAUAAAACACAUCAAACGGAUGGACAACAACUGUCAUAUUCCUGACUUGGUACAGGCAUUUUCGAUUGUAGAAAAUGAUGGAUUGACUCUGCUUAUAUAGCGCUAAACCUCUCACUUGUUUGACAGUCGCAUCAAAUUCCAUUAUAUUUACAACAAUGCGUGAAUGAAACAGAUAAAAUAGGUAAACUUGACAAAACAUGGUGUACAGCAGUCAUCACUGUGUCACAAUAUCAAUUAGAACAAAACAAACAAAUAUUUAACAAAGAAGCACCAAAAGCAUCUAUCAAAUUUCACAACGAUAUCGUUCUACCUAUAUUCAACUUUAUAGUCACUUCCAAGCUUUCUCAACUGUAAGCAGUUUAAUACGGCUGCCUUCAAGAAAAAUCGUGUAAAAUUUGGUCUGUCAAGUGAAAGCAGGUCUAUUUCCAAAAUUCGUAACAACUAUCUUGACAUCACUGUAAAAGAAUUAAUUGUUUGGUGAUGCCAAUAAAGGUCUACUCCAUUUAUGUUGGCAGUCAUAUGCUAAUUGAUAUGUAAUUAAUAUAACAGAUUUAAACAGAUGUGGUAUUAGUGCCAAUUAAACAACUCGUCAUCAAAGUCACAUUAUAUAAAGUCUACUCUACUUAUGAUGAAAACCAAUGAUGAAAUUAUUGGAUAAAAAUAAAAGGUCUACGACACUGAAGGUGAUGCCAAAAUAAACCACUUUUAAUUUGUAUUUUAAAAUUUUUAAGAGUUAACGUGAUAUUCAUAUAAUAUAUUGUUCUUUUCCAACAGCGUGUUUUACUAAGUUGUCUUUCCUUUCUUCACUCACUAUCCCAUGAACUACUUAAUAAGUUUACGAAGUGACAACUAUUACUUUAAGUUUGAUUUAAAGAGGUGAUUAUUUCAGUAUAUUAUAUUUGAUCGUUGACAUAUUUUCCGAAAUGCGUGAUGCUUUUUCGAUGAUUUUUACCCUUGGAACUUUCCUACUCCUCACUUUUUAUGUAUAUCCUAAAUGAAUUUAAUAUUCGAUGAUCAGACUAAUUGAUGUUGCAUCUUAUUUAUCAUCCACUUUGUAAUUGUGAAAGAAAAUCACAACAUGAAUUAAUCCAUUCGCCCGAAUGGUAAUAUGUAGUGUGUUUCUCCAAAGGAGGGAUAUUUCUUUCCUUCCUCAAUCCAUUAUUGCUCUUGCAUGUUCACACUUAACGCCAUUAAUGCGGUGUCGUCUUAACAUAAAUCUAUUAAAGAUUUUGGAAGAAAGAGUGAAAUAGACACUACAUAGGUUUCACGUUCACCAUUUUAAAUUGAUAAGAUAAGUUGGUAGUUCUACACACGACCGACAUAUGUUCGCGGUCUUAUAUCUUUAGUUAUCAGUAUAUUCGUCUGAUCUGUAAUUUUACCGAUUGCGUCCUUUUCGAUUUCGCCAUUUCUAAUGAGUGUGAAAUAGUGCGGCAGGUGUUACAGACAUAACAAUAGACACUUACAAUGAAGACACACCCGGAUGAAGUCAUACCAUUUUCCCAGUUUCUGUUUGUCUCUUGAGAUAGAAUAACGAGUUUUGAACAUCGUUAAACAACAGAGACAAACGCUUUAGAUAUUGUGUUUACUACUCAAAUUCUGUUUAUUGCAGUAAAAUUGGUACCGUGUUUUGUUUAUCCUUCUAAAACCAAAUUAAAAGAAUUAUAACAACUAAAGCACAUCGGAUGAUCUUAAAUAAAAACUAGUUUUUAAAUUAUCUCUGACUGAUCUUGAUGUCCAAUUUUGUUUAUACAUUAUUUUUGUUGGUGUUGUAAUUAUCGAAGGUCUACUGUAGACAAUGUGAAGUGAAAUCAUAAUUGCUUGUUCGCAUCUGCUAUUACUAUAGCAUAUUAGAGUAAAGAAUUAUGAUUGGAUUAAUAUUGAUUUCGUUAAAUUUUCGCAUAAUGUUUGUAAUUUUUGUGAUUUAUUUGUAAACUCAAUAUGAUUAAAACCAUAUUAGAAAUUAUCACUUUCCCUUUUCCUUAGGACAGAAAAGUUCUAAUGUGAAACAAUCGAAGCCCGAAAUGUCCUUAGAAAUGUUUUUGUAGUCAAAAUUCUUACUGCAUUUGACUUAUUUUUUCAAAGAUUUCAUAAAUCACAAACAUUACGAAUGAUUUUUCCUUAGGGAACGAUAACUUUAUCAGAAUCGUCGAAACUCUUGUUUGUUCGUUGAUUGGCUGUCAUUUUUCUGUUUGUGACUAUACAGCAUGAUGUAAAAUUUAUUCAUUUGUAGCUGAAAUGAAGUCCGUUGAGAACAACUCCAUUCCGAUUUAAACGUCAUAUAAACAGUAUAUAUAAAUGUAUAUAUAUAAAAAGAACUUCAAGUAUUCAUAAAAUAAUGUUUAUAUAGCCAACGAGUAAGAAAAGACUUUUGGAGAGAUUGUCUUUUGUAGAUUUGUGUUUAUCAAUAAAAUUAAGAAUGUAAAUGGGGAAUGUGUCAAAGAAACAACAGCCGAAGGCAACCAAUGGGUCUAAAAUGCAGCAAGAAACUACCGCACCCGAAGCAGACCCCUUAACAAAAAUGCAUACUAGUUCAGUGAUAAUGCACGUCCUACUAAAUAAGCUUAUAUCCAACUCAAAAUGUAUAUUUUUUAUUAUGACUUUUUCAAGAGAAAUUGUUAUUUGAAUCAAAUUAUUGUAAAAAUAUUUAUCGUUAAACUCAAAUGUAAAAAUGCUUAAAUGUGUGCUAGGGAUAUACUUCUACAGCACAAUUUCAGUAUUUAUCAGUUCUUAUAUAAGAAUUGAAUGUUCCUUUUUGUUAAUUCAUUGAGGUGUGAAAGCGUUGACCGAAUUAUUUUUCUAUGAAGCGCGGACGCGCUUCAAUCUAAAAAUGUGCGCAUGGUAAACGCUUUUACAACCCUAUGAAAUUACUGAAAGAAGCAUUCUGUCGUAGUUCUAUUACAUUUGAUACGUUUCCCUCAGUUUUAGUUUGUAAGCCGGAUUUGUUUUUUCUCUAUCGAUUUAUGAAUUUUGAACAGCGGUAUACUACUGUUGCCUUUAUUUAUUCAAUAAUUAGAAGUACAUUUUUUUCGCUAUUAUCAUGAAAAAUCGAUUUUUAUUAUUUAUUUAUUUACGGCAUAACCUGUGCACUUCUUGUGAUAGCACGUGUCAUCAUGAAUGCUAAACUUCAUUGGGAUAUGAAGGUGAAUUUAAGUAUGACGCACAAGCGUUGUUAUCCAAUUAAAACAACGGAUUAUUCUGAAACAUACAUGUAAUGUAAUUAUAAGAAAAUAAAGAUUCGAAUUUAUGCAUUUCUGUGCACACUUUUAUAAAGAUCAUUAUCUAAUAUUUCAUGUACUUAUUUGAAGUUUUUAAACAUUUACUUAGAAAUAUUAAAAAAAUAAGUUACAAUGAAUAUUCAUUCCUAGAAUAACGUUUUUUGUAAAGAAAAUGCUUGCUCUUUUAUUUUUUUCUCAACUAAGAAUUCCACGUCGAAGUUCUGUUCGUUUGCAUUCUCACUAUUUUGUUUUGUUCUUGAGCCUCGUAUAUUAACUUGAAAAACAAACUAUUUGUGAAGAGCUUGCUAUCUCGUUUUGGUUUAAACACUUGAUUGAAGGUAAAGAACACAUACAACAAGUAAUUGUAUAUUUGUAUAUGUUUACCACUUAUAGUUUACAUGUGAAUGUCACAAAAUGUUUUUAAAUAAAGCAUAUUGUAGUGUUUUUAAUGUAUUGUAUUGAUAAAUACAUCAUUACUAUAUAAAACUAUGUUUGUCCAUGGUUUAAAUUACCAUGGAACACAGGGUCUAUAUUAUAAUACAAUAUAAUUCUGGUUUCAUGUAGAAUUUCUAAAAAUAGCAUUUACUCGAUCCUCAUUUUGCAAUAUGAAUAUAAAUAAUUUAGAUUUUUUUUCAGUUUUCGAACAUUGUAUCUGAUUUAGGCCAAUAACGUGUCUAAUUAAUGUGAAACCAUAGAAUUACAAUAAACUCUACUAACCUUGACCCUAUUUACAGUCAGUGAACAUUAAUAAUUCAUUCAGUUCUGUCUAUAAAAAGCAUAGCAACGGAAAAGCAGGAUACUAGAUAUUUGUUUUACAUAAUCCCAUUAAAGUGAAAUAUAGUCUUGCAAAUUACUGUGUUAUAGAACACAUGAAGAUCAAAUAAAUUUAUAGAAAAUGUUAUAAACAACCAAUACAAAAUAACACUUUAUAAUUUUAGUUCGACCGACAUUGAGAUUGACCUAGGUAAUAGUGCAUAAAAGGACAUUAAAAUCCAUGAGGUAAUGGUAAACACUAAUCUUGCUAUGGUUUUUCAAAAUUGAUAACAUUCGUAUGUAUUAGAACUAAAGCAGACAUUGUCUUCCUAAUGUGUUUUUGUUUUUGUUCUGUAUUCAAUUGAGGAAUGUAGCAGUUAUUUUCAACAUGUUCCGUUGACUGAAACCAUUUGAUUUUGUUAGUUUUUACGUACCUCACAUUUUUGAAUUUGCCUCAGAGAUCAGAAAUUUUUUUAUACUUUUUUUUCAAAUACGUGAAAAUGUUCCCCUGUUUGAAUGUUUAACUUUUAUCAAUGUGAGGAAGUUGCAACCAAGUUCAAAUAAAAAACAGAUGAAUCGAAAUCAUUUUUUUUUAGAUUAAAACGUUGCAUUGUCAAAAGCUUAUACACUAAGGUGUAAUACAUUAUAAUCACUUGAUUCAAGAGUUUGAAUUCGUUCCUCCUUCUGGUCAUAUUACAAAUUUUGAUCGUACGCAUAUCAAUUUGGGCUUGAAAACUUCUUAAUCUUCCAGAAUAUUAGGUGUUGGUAUUUCUUGCAUUAUAGUUAUAUGUUUGUCAUAUUUACCACAUUCGUUAGACUGUUAUUUUUUUUCAAUAUGAAGUCGUUUAUAUUUUUUAAAGUGAUACAUUGUCUAUACUCGGGACGAUUUAUUGCUUAUCAGCAGACGUACUGGCAUGUCAAUUUGAAACGCUAUUAAUAUGUUGAGACUACAAAAUAAAUUCAGUGAACAUUGUUUGAUUAAUGUCUGAUAGACGAUAACCAUUUCAUUUUAUUCAUACUAUUGGUUAAUUUUUCAUUUAUUUCAUUUUAAGACCCAUAUUUCUUAUUUCGAUUGGAAACAAACAUAGUCAAGUGAUAAAACAACAGUUGCUUCCUUAUUUGUUUGAGAGAGAAUUAUAUUGCAUAAAAAUUAACAUGUUUGGGUGAAUAUUUUCGGUACUUAACUGUUCACUCUAUCAUGUUAUCACACUAUUAUUGAUGAUCUAAUAUGAAAACACUAUUAGGUAAAUUGCAUUUGAACUGGUGUUGUUUUGAAUUACAUUUUUUCUAAUGAUUUAUCAAGUGCAAUAUCGUUACAUUUUCAUCGAUAUAAGUUUAUUAAGAACGUUUUUGCGGUAAAUUGAUUCAUAAUGUAUCACUUCGAUUGCCAUCCAUUCGUAUGUAUCAUUUAAAGACUUUUCCAAUUUCGUUAGAGAAUAGAGAGGAUAUUGUCGUAUAUAUUUAUUGAAAAUAUUAAAUACACCGUGUAUCUAGCUAGAGAAAAAUGUAAUUCUAAAACAGAAAAUGGACUCAAUCUUCUUCGGGUUAAAGAAUUUGCUUUUGUUAACAUGAUUCAUCUUAAUUGUUUUUGCAUAUUUCCGGUAGGCUUGCCUUAAUGAUCCUACAUGGUCCUUACAAAUGCCAAAAAAUAAGGGGGAGUGGGGUUCUUAUUUCUAGCUUUUGUCAUAUUUCUGUGUAGUAUUUUAUUGAAUUACUUUUCGUCGAUUUUGUUUUUGUUCAUGGUUUUGUCAUACUAGUAGCUAUGGUUCGAGGGAUAUUUUUCAAAACGAUAUCCAAACUUAUUAUUGUAAAGCAAAAUUUAAAAAAAAAUUUGUUGAAAUCGUAUUUUUAUCUUGGACGAAAUCUUUAAUUUGAUAACAUAUUUGCACUAAAAUAUCUCUCGCUAAUGAUAUAUUGCUUUUUUUCAGUAAAUUGUUAUAUGUUCUGUCUUUAUCUGUUAAUCAGUUAUUUUUUUCUUGCGUCUGGUUCUUGGUUAUCUGAUUGCUUUUGUAUUGUAUAUUACCAUCAUUGAAACACUUAGUCAGGCUUUGAUCUAGCUGACAGUUAACUGCGAGUACUCUCAGAUCUGUACCUAGUGUCUUUUUGUUGUUGGGAUGUACAAGUACCCGUCCACGUCUACUUAUAUUUUUGUCCAUCUGAUGAGUCAAGCCUUUUUCAAUUGAUUUUUAUAGUUCGUUCUUAUGUUAUAUUGUUAUACCACUGUCCCAGAUUAGGCGGAGGAUUGGGAUCCUGCUAACAUGUUUAACUUAGCCACAUUCUCUAUGUAUGUGCAUGUCCCAAGUCAGGAGCCUGUAAUUCAGUGGUUAUCAUUUGUUUAUGUGUUACAUAUUUGAUUUUCGUUCAUUUUUUGUACAUAAAUAAGGCCGGUUUUUUUUAUAACUGAUCUGUAGUAAAUAUACAAUUCUGCAAAUAGCAAGAUGAUGUAUUAUAUGACAAGACAACCGAUGGAGUCAUUUGAAAGGAAUGCACUUUGUUUUGUUGAGAUCGCAGUAUUGCUGAUUCGUUUGAUGAUUUGAAAAUUAACCCAACGUAAGGCACAAAUAAGUAAGUCAAGUUAUUUUGGCAAGGGUAAGCAUUGUUUGAUACUGUAUAAUAAUUGUUUGUUAUUGUUGCCAUCGCCUCAUUUUUAGACUGAUACCUCGAUUUCGAAAUAAACGUUCAUCUCAGUACCAAAAUAUAUGAUAAACGAGACGAUCUUAAUUUCAAGUUAUAGAUUUUUCCUACUUUCGCAGCAAAGUACCAAUUUCACCUACAUAAUUAUAUGAUAUACAUUUCCCAUCUUAUGCGGUAUUCAAGAGCUUGCAGCUGCUUCUCACAUUAUAAAACUUCACCAGUGUCUGAGCAGAAAAUUGAUGAUCCAGGGUUAUAUCAAAGAUCGUUUCGUCUUAUUCAUGAAAAAAGUUCGCAAGAGUAUAACAUUACCUUAUAGUAAAAAAUCCGUAUCAACUUUACAAAUAAUACAUGAUAUUCUUGAAGAAGCGAUUCUAGAUUGUGAAGUUAUGCAAUUCUUUUGUGUACUAUCCUUUUGGUGUGGCUCGGUAUUUAUACAUCUCGUAAUUCUUUAAUUGAGCUUCGGUCAUGUUUUGUAUUCUUGCCUUUAUGUUUACUAUUAAGUUCUGUCUCUAUAGUGUAUUUAAGCCAUAUUGUUUUCUUACUUGACAAAAUUGUUUUAUUUUGUAAUGAUUCCGAUCUUACAUAAUGUUGAUUUUCUGUAUCAAAAUUUUGUGUUUUUUAGCUGCUACUAAGAGGUUUCGUGUAUUUGCUUUUUGAAAACGUUAGCCCUAAAACUAGUCUGUUUGCUUUGCUCACAUAUUGUUGUCAAGAUAUUGGAUAUUCAAUGCAACUUUCAUACAAGUGAGAGGUUUUUCUCGCUAUAAAACCAAUUUUAGUCCGCCAUUUUCUUUAUAGGUAAAUGCAUGUUCCAGGAAUAUAAAAAGUGGUGAAAGAUACCAGAGGGACAGUCAAACUCGUUGAUCGAAAAUAAAUUAACAACGGCAUGACUAAAAAAAAAAAAAAAGACAAACGGACAAAUAAGACACAACAUAGAAAAAUAAGACUAAGCAACACCAAUCCCACCAAAAAAAGGGGGUGAUUCGUGGUGAUCCAGAAGGAUAAACUGAUCCUGCUCACCAUAUAAUAGUUGUCUUCCAUUCGUGUUAAGAUUUUGAGAUUUUCAUUUGAUGAUAGAGAAGGGACUUUCCUUUUUGAGUUUCCUCGGAGUUUAAUUAAAGAUGACGAAAUGACAAACUAGUUCACAAAAUAAUACAUAUAAUGGCUGCGUAACACGAACCCCACGAAACCUAGGUUUCAACAACUCAAUGUAAAAAAGAAAAUGUUGUAUGAUUGCCAAUGAGAUAACUCUUCACGAAAGAUUAAAUGGAUAAAUUAACCACUUCAUGUCAUCGUACGGCCUUCAACAAUGAGCAAAGCCUAUACCGCAUAGUCAGUUAUAAAAGGCAUUGAAAUGACAAUAUAAAACAAUUCACACAAGAAAACUAACGACCUAAUUUAUGUACAAAAAAAAUGAUCGAAAAACGAAUAUGUAACAGAUAAAAAAACGAUAACCACUGAAUUACAUAAUGUGUACGAGUUCAUUCAUAAAGGAAUUAUUACAAUUUUAUUAUAUAGUAUUAUAUGAUGGAACCGCGUAACAUAAAAGGAAUUAAGAAACCCAGAUGAAGACAUUUCGUUUGUUUUCAACAAAUCAUUUGUACUUUUAUAUACCAAUUUAUAUGAAUAAUUUGAUUGCCUUACGUAAUAGUGCCUUAAUGGACAAAAGGCUGGUAAACGAUAUCAAAACUAUACAUCAGUACAUUCUAAGAAAAAAACGUAGUUAUGGAAUAAAAUAAUAUAUUCGAUUGAAGGGUUUCUAUAGAUAAAUCAAACACAAAUAUGCAAUUAUGCAAUGAUUUUACUGAUGGGAUAUCGCUAGACAAUUAUCUGUAAGAUAUUAAUUUCUACAAUUGAUACACACACACAUUCACUUAAACCACUGUCAUCAAUUCUUAAUGCGUUCAUUUUAUGAUAUAACAAUAGCAUGUGAAUCAAUGUCUGAGAUACAGUCAUUCUAAUACUAAGCUCUAUUAUUGAAAUAGCUUUAAUUUCUAUUAUUAUUCAUUUAUUUGUUGUCCAUUGAAUAGAUAUGUCUGCGAUGACGUCAUAAUAUCAUGCAUAAUGUACUUUUUCAUUGAAAGUAAGAUGUAUUUCAAAUUCUAGCAUUUAUUUCUGUAGGUUCUGGUACCUAAUUUUUAAAGUUUGGUAUAGUUUGACAGAGAUAUAUAUCCAAUAAUUUGGUAAACAAUCGUGAACUUUUUUAAUCAGGACAUAUCAUAUCAUUUUUCAUGUCUUCUGGAUUUUUUCUUCCUGUUUUCAAAAAUGUUUCAUAAGGAUGCUAUUUUCAAAGUAAUGACAGAUCUGAAACAAUUUUGACAAUAGCAAAGAAUUAUGAAAGCAUAACAACAAACACCGACAAAAUAUUAUAUAUAUAAUUCAAAAUUGAUAAACACGACUCACGUUGAUGCCUUGUUAGACAGUAUAUGUGAAGAGAUGCAUGUUUCCUCUAUGUCUGUUCCGUUUAUCAAUACCUUAUGUUCAGACAUAUUGACGAAAGGAUGGUGACUUAGAAAAGUAGAACAAGUAUGUUAACAUCUGGAGAACAUAAUACAUGCUAUGAUUGAUUUGAAAAAGGAGAGAUUUAGUGAAUUAUUCCCCAUAUUCAAAAUGACGUUGUUGAUAGCAACUAUGACGUAUAGGACAUCUUAUAAUCUUCAACAAUGACAACAACAUUCAUAGUCGUAAUAAAUAUUAGAAGCUCGAUAUGACAAAUUAUUGAACGAUUUAUUCAAGAAACCCAACGGCCUGAUUUAUGAAUUUUGGAUCAUCAAUGCUCUUCAACUUUGUACUUGUUUGGUUCUAAAACUAUUUUGAUAUGAGCGUCACUGAUGAGUCUUAUGUAGACGAAACACGAGUCUGGCGUUCACAAUUAAUAUCCUGAUACCUUUGAUAACUAUUAUGACAAAAAGCAAUUAUGCCCGACGGUAACCAGUCACAGCCACUGAAUUGCAGUCUCAUGACUUGAGACAGACACAUGUAGAAUCGAUCUGACGGUAUACAUGGUAUUAGCUCACCAUCUUGAUUACCUGGAUCAGUAAUGUUACAGCACCUCAUAAGAAAACACUGUAAAAUCUCAGUUAGAUAUGGCUUGACUAAUCAGAUUGACACGGUGCACAAAACAACAGACAUAAAGAACAGACUUAACGUAUCGAUCUAAAAGUACUCACAGUUAAUAAAAGCUAGUUCCAAGUCAAUAACAUCUAAUAAACAAAAUCAUUUGCGCCUAACGUUUGCUUUUGUGCACUUUUGUUUAUUGUAUCUUUGUCGGCACAAACUUUAGAAUAGUAAUAAAUUUAGUCAUCAAACAGUUAAGGUUUCUUGAUCUGAACGCAUGGAUAUUAAAUCUUUUUUUGUUUUAUUACUCCUAUGCAUUGUUGCGUCAGAUUCAAACAAACCAAGUUGAAAAUAUGAUUUAUGAAUAUCAUCGUAAUUAAACAACACUGUCUUGACGUAAGCAAUUGGAAAUUUAUCUGAAAGACUCCAUAUAUUUGAGUUUUUCAUGUGAACAAUUGAGAUAAAGGGAUAUAUGAAUUUGAAACUGCAAAACAAUAACACACAACAAACAACUAUAUACAAAGAUUAAAAAUAUCACACACUAAGUUGCACCAACAAAGUCUGUAAAAGUAAGUUUUAUUCUAAAUAAUCAUAAAGUAAGUAUGAUUUUCUAUUAUUUACGCAUGUCCUUUUUCAGCUAAUAUUUGUAUUUUGUUGUUAUGCUGUUCUUUUACCCCCUGUCCCAGCUAGGGAAAUAUUUGAGCGAUAUUCAACAUUAUUAAUCCGACCUAUAUUUUGGUAGUUGUCUUUGAUUUGUUGUUUAUCACACUUGUUAUUUAUUUGGCAAUUUGAACAUGUUUCAUUUGAGAAUCACUGCUUAGUCCUUUGUACACGAAACGCACGUCUGGCUUACAAAAUUCCAAGUAGAGCAUCCAUGAUGAAUUUACAGAGUAGUAGUUGAUUUUGUUUAUUGUUUUGCACAUACAUCAAAUCAUUGGUUUUUCUUGAUUGAAAUGUGUUACCUUAAGAUUUUAUCAUGCUUGUCAUACCGACCUACGGUAUUCAGUUUGCUCUUUGUUAAACUAUGACCAAAAGUUGUUACACCUACAUAUUAGAUCUCUAAUAAUUGAUUGGUACAUUUGCAAUCACACCAUACACUGUAUCUUCUUUCUCAAGUAUACUUUUCGGGUAUUUCAAGCCAUCUUAAGAUGGUCAUACAAAAUUGUAAUAUCCGGCCAAUCAUUAGCAUUAUUUUUGAAUUCAAAAAUUAAAGUGAACAAAAUAGACAUACCUUUGCAUUUCUAGAGUAAUUCAGAUGUCUUUUCUGUCAAUCACACAAAUAUCCUGUAACAAUGAAACUUGAAUAUUUUCUCAUUUAGCUAAAAUAAUAAAAUAAAGAGCACACAUACAUGAGAAAAGUGUACAGAAUAAUUGUUCUGCCCAUCAGUAUCUAAUAAGGACAAUUUUCUUUUGAGAACUUGUAUAACUGUUGUGUAAAUGGGAAACAAUUAACAUAUUGGUUGUUUUCUGGUCGUUCUUAUACCAUGUGACUAAACCCAACAGCACAGAACCAGGACCCAUCCACAAAGAUCAGGACCAAAUCACCAGCCCUUUCUCUUGCUAGAAAAUUUAACACACCAUAAAUUUGAAAAUUGUAAUAUACAUAUGUUUUAAAAAUUAAGUAAAUUGUAAUCCGUAAUUUUGAUUCAAUAAAAAAUAACUUACAGAUUGAUAUGUUAACAUGCUGCAAAAUUAAUUUUACAAAAUUGAGAACAUUAUUUCAAUAAUGUCAUGGAACGUGAAUCUGAAAAUACAAAAAAAUAACGGUAUCAUACACAUUCAACAAUGUUUAUUUUAAUGAUGUUUUUCAGCAUUAAAACGCAAUAACAUAAAAGGAACAAAUUUUACUGCACCAGACGCAAAUUCGACAUCCAAUAUGUACAAUACAUAUUAAAUGUGUUAUUUUGCAAACAACCCGGAAAAGUCGUCAACAUAGCCGAGAAAUUGACACAAACACUUGUCUGGAGGUUGAUAGGAGUUGUCUUUACUAUAAAUUAUACUCUUUAUUUCGAAAAAUCUUUCUUGUAUAAAUAUUGUAUACAUAGAACGUGGUGUCCUUUAGUGCAUACUUCAUUUCUCAUUACAAACCUGAUAUCUCUGAUGACUUUUCUCAUCUAAUCUAUAUUUAUUUUUCUCUAAUUCUAUGGAAAUGUAUACAAAGAUCAACGUGUGGUUGCCGGUGAUCUCAAAAGAUCAUUGGAUGAUUUUAAGGGCCAUAAUCUUUUUAGUUACGUAUGCUAACAGGUGUUAAUGAAAUUGACACCUUCGUGGAAUGUGAAAGGCUCUCGAAGGGGAUUUUCUUUUAACAAAAAGAAUAAAAUAUAUUCUUUAAUCAUUAGAGAAACAGAUUCUUACAUUGUUACUCGUGGAUUAUCGGAUUUAUCCAAUCUCGAUAGUUAAAUUAUCAAUUUUAAAGUCCUCACCGAGGCUCGGACUCUAAAAUUGAUAAUUUAACUAUCUCGAUUGGAUAAAUCAGAUAAUUCAGUGGUAUCAAUGUAAGAAUCUACAUGAAGACACAUAUUGUAACAGGUGCCAACGUCAAAAAUACUAUAACACUAUAGGAUGUGCUAUUUGCUUGUUGUUUUGUGUUAUGAAAUUGCAAUGGCCAUAAAGAGUAAAUUAAUAUGAACAAAUGAGAUAAUUAUGACAAUGAGACGCAAUCACACGACAAACAUUACCAAAAGGAUAUAUAGAAAUAAAAAAUCAUCUUCUCUUUCUUAUAUUUUGGUGUAUAAUUUUAACCUUCUUUUCUUUUAAAUAAUAAUGGUUUAUAUACUUAAUAGAAAUAUUAUUUUCAAAAGAGACAUUGCUUUCAAACCAAAUCCUUGUUUAUUCACGCAGACUCUAAAUAAUGCUGAUAAUAAGUAGAUACGAACAAUGCGACAGCACUUGGUAAUCGUGUUGAACAAAUUAUGCAGUUCGUUACGCUUGAUCGUUUUUUUAUGCUUUAGUUUGAGCAUUCCUGAUAAGGAAAAUCCAGAUAGCCUUCAUAUUACUGCAGACUUCCGUGUUUAGAAAGAAUGACAGAAGAUGCGGGAUUUAUGUCUGAUAGACUUUACCUAAGCUUCAAAAUAAUUAUGUAGAGAGAAUAAUACGGCUUUACACAAAAGGCAUGUGUCUAAAUCAUAUGUCGCCCUAAAUCGUCUUGAGUCUAGACAAGUUGACUAUCUAUUUAAAGUAAACUGCAAAGUCAACCUACCAAUUUCAAUUAAUUUAAGAGCAAAACGUUAAUUGAAAUAGACGAAAUAGACAACCAGAGACAAUUUUCCAGACUUGGGACUGAUAUGUAUAAUCAUAUUUUAAAUACGUCAAAUGCUGGAACGACAUACAAACAACAGACAAAAAGGACAUAUGAUUAAGAUAAACCACAAACCUAAAAAAUAUCGAUAUUUUUCUGUUUACAGAGGAUGCUUUUAUACAAAAUAAUUUAUAGGUUGUUUUCUUGUUUUCACAGUAAAGAUAUAAAAAAUAUUGCUUGAAACUAAGGACGCACGUGCCGUUGUCAAUGAAAUUAACAACGUCGUCAUUGGUAAAAUAGUGAUAAAUAUUUUAUUAUUUGUCAUUUCAACUCGUUUGAUUUGCUCAUUUUCACCGUACCGGCUCAAGCGAGAAAAUCAAUCACGCUGAGAUGACCAACGAUAAUCUAUAGUUAUCAGCAGUAUACACAGUAAUUUUGCACUGAUAUGAAAUAUCAUUGAUCUGUUCAUUUUCAAGCAGUUUCAUGCUUUAAAAUGUUAGAAAUGUUCAAAAUACUAAGUAAUGUUUUUACCCGAGGUAAAGAGUGCUUAAGUCUUAUGUAUAUGAAAUGCGCGCCCGGCAUUCCUAAUAUUUAGAGUGGUACCUUCAUUUUGUUUCACCUGGUACUUUGAUAUAAGGUUCAAUAAGUAAGGUAUGUUAAAAGAUAUCACCUCCGUUUGCUCAUGUUAGCGUUGUUUUUAUAACUUCCUUAUUCGUUACAUUUUUAUAACUAUUUGAUAUGACUAACAAAGUAACUACACCCAAUGGUCCUAUCACAACUGCGUAAUGUGAAUUUAGAAAUAGACACCAUUACAUGAUACUUGUCAGUCUUUAUGUAUUGUCACUUAACAUUUACUAAAUUAAAAACUAAAAAACGUCAGCGGUAAAAAAUAUAUUAUUUUAAUGCAUAUAACAAUCGUUACUGAUUACAUUAAAUGUACCUCUUCCUUAUAAAGUAAUAAACAUAGCACAAGUAAAAGUCAUAGAGUAUCAAAAUGUGAAUAAAAGAUAAGAAAGAAGAAACAAAUAUCCGUUUUAAAGUUUAAAUAACAAUUAGGGUAAAGUACAGAAUAAGAAAACGCAAUUAAAAGUAGAUAAAACAAAAAUUCGUAUUUUAUACAUUCUAUACAUUCAUAGACCUAGUUAGGAUAUUUCUAAAUUUAUAAAGUAUAAAGCAUACAUAAAUCUUUUGUGUAAUACUUUGAUACAGUUUAACGAAUCAUCAGUGUCUAAAAAUUUUUUUGUCAAAAUCUGAAAUAUCACCAAAUCAUGUAUACUUUUUAUCAAAAGACACUACUUGUAUUUGUUCUGGUCUAUAAAAUAGCUUGGUUUAAAUAUUACUCCCUUUAAGUGGUCAUCAGAAUACUGCUUUUCUGCUAGAAUGUUAUCAAUCACUUUCACAAAUAAAUUGUUUGUUAAUCAAAGUACUGCAUUUUUUCACUGUGUUGAUGAAUUUGUUCAUAUCAAGAUAAAAGAUAAAGCUGAGAGCAUUUUCAGAACUCGUAACGAAGCGAUAUUAUUAGAACAAUAAGGUAAGUGUUAACUGUCAGAUAUGCACCUCUCUAAAAACAAAUCCCUACUUGGUCAAAAUUUGACAAAGGAGGAUAAGACACAGUACAGUAAUGUACAGAUCAUCCUUCUAUUAAUAUAUAAUAUAAAAAAGGUGAAAGCAAUACACCAAAGCUAUAGACCAAAGUCUAUUGUCCUCUGUAAUGACAGUGAUGAAAAUGAACAGAUAGUCUUAAGCACUUUUAAAACUCCAUGUCUUACAAAUUGAGUAACUUACCAUAUUUGUUGACAUAUUAUGCAAACAUAAAUACUUAAAACAAAAACGUCGGUUUAAGAAAAGACCGAUAUUGAAGUACUCAUUAACGUAUCAGAAAUGAAUGUAAUCACUAGACAUUUGUAGAAAAGAAAUAAUGAUAUGAUGCACUAAUGGAACGCACUAAAAAUAUUUUAUAAAAACAUUUUUCAAUAAUAAGAUAAGGUCUCAAAUGAAACAUGUGCUGAUGUUAGUAAGAUCAAUAUGGCAAAUAAGUAUGUGUCAUUAUCUUAAACUUCGUUGCUCUUUAUUGUACUCUUGUAGAAUGAGUUUUGAAACGUUAUUUUAACUUAAUUGUUAUAGUUUUUUUCAAACUAUUGCAGUUGAUUUGAAUUGAAUGUUUGUUUUCUUGUUCAUAAAGAUCAAUUUUGAAUAGUGCAGUUGUUGAAUUUAUCAUCUAAUUAAUUAAUAUUAAGGUGAUUUAUUUUGUCGACAGUCUGUUAUGUUUUCAUUGAAACAGGACAAAUAAUCUUUAACAAAUCAAUACCAUACAUUUCGACGUGUGGAAACGUUAUAACCUUAGUAGACUAUGAUAGUCCUGUAUCAAACAUGAGUAUUGUGUAAAGGACAAUAAUAGCUAAACAUUGGAUAAACGCUUAGUAUGGUGCGAGUCCAUCGGAGAAACAUCGUAUCUAUUUUUCAUAUAGAAACACUCAAAACGUCUUUUGAAUACUUACAUGAAUGAGCUCAACUGUUUUAUUUAGUCGAAUAAAUCAGCAGUGGUGGUGAAUACACAAAUUGUCUUCUUAUUUGGAAUUUUUAUAUAGAUGUGUUAUUAUACUGAUGACGAACAUAUUCAUAAAUGCCAUCUAUCAUAGCGAAACACGAAUAUCAACUAUACCAAGUCGAUGUUAUCUCGUAUUUACAAUAGUACUGUUUUUAUUCGACGAAAAUUGGACCCCGUAAACUAAGUUAGUCCACAUCAGUCUGUCGUCAUGAAGUAUACUCAGUAUUUUUGCCUUAAUUUUUUAUUUUACUAUCUUUGUUUCCUUUGGAUAUUUUUUUUCAGUUAAUAAAAAACAAACCAUGGAGGUAAAUACUUGGAAAUAUUUAAACCAUAUAUACAAACUUACACAUGUUACACUCAAAUGAAAAAUGUCUGAUUACUUUAAUUCUUUACAAGUUCAGAAUAAUGUUCUGAAUGUCAUUUGAUAUAUUGUAAUUGAAAGAAUACUUAUGGAAUGUGUAAAGAAUACAUUAAAAAGUAAAUAUCAAAAUAAAUGUUGUAAAUUAAAGUGCAAAAAUAAAAUAUGUAUUGAGAAAACACAAUAUUGACACAGGUUAACUUUUUUUAUCCUGUUAUAUCAGAAGAUUACAUUUAAGGUAGAGUACACAUGUAUCUAUAUGUCAUAUACGUUAACUUGUCGUUUUUCAUCUACCUUAUAUGGUAAAAGACUGGCAAUGCCAUCGAGAUAUUUAUUAGAAAAUUAGCUGCCGUAUCGUCUAAUUACAUAAUUAUACAUAAUUGAUUGAGUCAACAGACAAAUUAUUGAUACAAAUGAAUCAGACUGAUAUCUUUAUCAUAUUAAAUAAAUCGUUUAUGAUUGAUAACUAUAUUUCAGUGGUCUAUAUUACAUUGUCUAACAUUUCAUACUAUUCUAUACAGUUAUUGGAAUCCCCAGCUUAACAUGGAUUGAACCAUGACAUAUGCCCCUAUCUCUGCACAGUAAAAGUAACUUUUAUUGAAUUGCAGGGUUUGCUUGUAUGCUUAUACUGAUAAGAUAUACUUAUAAAAUUCCUGGUUUUCACAUAUAUAAUUAUUCAUUUUCUAUAAAUUAGGUUAUAAUACAAUCCUUUCGAUUUUCUGUUAACUUUUGGGUUUGUUUAAGAAUUCCUAGCAACUGAUAAUAUAGGACAUAACGAUGAUACCUUCUUGGUAAAUUUGAGGUACGCAGUUUCAGAAAUUGCUAAAGAGACAUUUAUAGUCAAAAUGCAUAUCAAAAUGCACAUUUGGUGCAGCAAUAUAGGUAGAAUUAACUGUGUAGUAUCCACCAGGUCGAUACCUCUAAUGUUGGACAGCUAGACCUUAACAGUAGUUUCUACCAAACAGAACAUUUCUCACAACAAAAUUGUAUGAAAUACAUAUAUCUUAUUUUAAUCUGUUAUUCAAUGAUUUCAAGCUAACGAAUAUAGCUCCCUCAUAACCCCUGUUUCCUUGGGACAGUUUAGCAAUACGUUUAGCUCUUUUCGGAUACAGUAGCUCUUCGGGUACAUAAAAGAUUUCAGAUUUUCAAAGAUGUUAUCCUUUGGAAUCUUUGAAGACAACUAUAGUGUUGCAAUGCUCAUCUGGAAAAGUUAAAUCGACAUCGUUAAGUGUUAUUGCCCAGCGGUUCGAUACCUCUGAUGGUGGAUGGUUAUUUCAUUGAGGUAUCUGUAGGACAGUACCUCAGCAUUUCAAUAUUGACAUGAAAAGUGCGAAUAUUGUUUUAACUAAAAAUUGGUAUUAUAAACUUUGAAAUUGGUUUGACAUUACGAAAUGAAAUGUCCUCAUGAAAACUUGUCUGCACAUUUGGCUGUCAGAUAAAUGGAUUCCUGAUAUUCAAAUUAUGUUGAUGAUUUUCGAAAAGUUCAGCCUAAAACAUCACAUAAGAUACCUUAAUUGUCGAGUUUUGCAUUUAGCUCAGAGAAAUUGAUACCGUUUAAUAUUUGUAUAAAACUUUAUGUAAUUGUUUUGAUACAUUGCAGUUUUUUCUCAUUACACGCUACCAUGGAUUAUGAAGACUGAAAC